UCUAUUUUCUGAAUUAAGACUGUUACAAAUGACUUUACCUGUAACGAAUGAGCCAAUGCAAGCAAUGGAAAUAUUUGAGUUUGUUAGAGAUAUAGAUUGUUUUCCAAAUAUUUUAAUUGCUUAUCGUAUUUUGUUUACUGUACCGGUGACAGUAGCAUCGGCUGAGCGUAGCUUUUCUAAGUUGAAGUUACUAAAAAACUAUUUAAGAUCAUGAAUGUCUCAAGAAAGAUUAAAUGGUCUGGCAAUUUUGUGUAUCGAGAAAAAUAAGUUGGAUGAGAUAAAUACGGAUGCAAUUAUAGACGACUUUGCUUCUAGAAGUGUUAGGAGAAAUGGCAAGUUCUGAAUUCAAUUUGCUAUACUGUGACUUGCGCAGGAAGAGGAAGCUUUCGAAAAUUGGUGAAGAAUAUGGAGUGGUGGGCAUGAUCUAAAUAAAGUCUUACUGUAAAUGCCCCUCUCUGGUUCUCUUUUAAGUAGGAACUGCGGCGACUUCAUCUCCUAUCUAGAUUGAAGAAAGACAUGUUCUGCCUUGUCAAUCCUAGUUCCUAGCAAAGCGGAACUUUUGCGGAAGCAGGGAAUCAUCA
Long non-coding RNA from Lolium perenne, 581 nucleotides. RefSeq lists it as uncharacterized. Lineage: Eukaryota; Viridiplantae; Streptophyta; Magnoliopsida; Poales; Poaceae. The record is from RefSeq and is a predicted model, not a curated record.